GCAAGGGUUACCGAGCUUGGCCAAAGGUGCUAGAUUCAGGGUCUAGUCGUUAGUCGUUCGAGGGUUCGAAUCCCUUCCCUUGAA
This 84-nucleotide transfer RNA is filed under the name Candidatus Methanomethylophilaceae archaeon. Its description in RNAcentral is "tRNA-Leu". It matches the Rfam family "tRNA". From Rfam's summary of the family: Transfer RNA (tRNA) molecules are approximately 80 nucleotides in length. Their secondary structure includes four short double-helical elements and three loops (D, anti-codon, and T loops). Lineage: Archaea; Methanobacteriati; Thermoplasmatota; Thermoplasmata; Methanomassiliicoccales; Methanomethylophilaceae. The record is from RNAcentral.